UGGCGAAAAAGAUGUUGUGCCUGCUAGCACAGGCCUCUGGGUGGGCCAGCAAUGCCGGCUAUCCAAAAGAGGACUGCCUCGAAGCAGUCGGAAGCCUCACUGCAAGUUUACAGGCGAUGCAAGGGACCAAGAACAAGCUAAACAAUGUCACGUGAGAGAGAGACAAAUUCCAAGAGUAGGGUGUCAUACCUGGCCCACAAUGAGUCUCCAUGUCACAGAAAUGGACCAGUUACAAGGAAUGGUCCUGGAUCCAUUUUUUUCUUUGAACAAAGCCAUUGUUAAGAACACAAGUGAGGUUCUAAUAAGAAAACAUCGGUAAAAUUGAACUGUAAAGGUCAGAGAAGCAGGUAACAGAAUUAUAUGUCUUCUGCGCUAUCUUGAGAUACAAUCCAAAAGCAUGUGCCCUAAGUCAUUCACUGUGGUGGUCUGAGUGACUCUUGAUUUUUGCUUGCUGUAGUUCCCUAAACCACUGCCGUCCCUGUAAUCCUCAUCUCUCCCCAGGCUCCACAUGCAAAAGUCCUGCUCUGUCCCGGGCUUGUACCCUGGAAUGUGGGCUUGUUGAGGCAGAGCUACUCAGAAAAGAAUGUGUCCCUGCUGUCAGCUAAGUCGGGGUGAGUCCCAUCAACUAUUGUGACUGCGGUCCUUUAAACGACAGAAGAUGUGUGUGGAGAUGAAGGCAGACACAGACACCAGGUUGUGUCUCUACAUGCUGAGGAACCGCGGGAUGCCAGUCACCACCAGGAGCUGGUUGGCAGUGGCAGACUACCCCACCUGGACUGGGCAAGAAGCCACCCUGGCAGCCAUGACCUCAGACCUCCAGAACAUCCACAGCAAGGCAGGAUAUUUCUGCCAUGUGGACACUACAGUCAUCUAUGCCCACCUGGUACACAUAACGUCUCUAACAACAGCAAUGGAAUCGUUCAAAUUGUAGAGUUAAAAGCGAGGCUUGGGUGGGUACUUUAAAAAUACAGAGAGCCAACUGUCCCCACCCAGGAACUGCAGCUUCCCGGGUUGGCAGCCUCCGCUCCCUCCGCUGUGUGAGGAGAGCAUCCUUCACAGCACCAGGGCUCUAGGGAGCCUUCCUUCCCCCUCGCCUGUGGUUCUCCUGAGUCAGCCCACAUGAGUCACUUCUACUCUCUGGAGCUGCUGGGUUUUCUGGCCGAUGGAGACCCUACCAGAAGCACAUCUUGGCUCCGCCCCACCCAGUUCCGGAGAGGUGGAAAGUGAGAUGAGGCACCUGCAGGCCAUGGGGUGGCAUAGGUCGUCCUGGGGGCGUGGCUUAGCACCUCCUCCCUGAGAGCAGCAGUCUUCCGAGCAGCGCCCGGGCUGGGCUCGGAAACCUGAUCUAUGGCAUGGCCUGAGGAUCAAAAUAACUCCCGAGAAUAACCGUCCAGCCUCGGCAGGCCUGUCCUGGGACUCCGACUCCGCAUGUGGGCCUGCGUGUUGAAGUGCUCCGGCCUGGGCCUUCACUUCCGCCACAGCUCCCCAGGAAUGAGUUAUCAGGCCACACACCCUGGAACUCAAUCAACUGAAACAAUCAGAGGAAGUGUGGCGCUUUCUCCACACGCCAGCCAAAUGGGGAGCCCGCUUAUCAAAAGGACAAGAUUUAUUCAGUUGCUACAAACUUCCAAAGACUUCCUUUCCCAAAAGAAAGGCCCACAGGAAGGUCGUGUCCUUCAGCCACAUCCAGUGAGUCCAAAGUGCUUCACUUCAAGCUAGUCAGUCAGGUGACUUCCACUCUGCCCCCAGCGCGACACCUGAGCACACCGCUGCCCCAAGAGAGGUCUGCAGGCUCUCCGAGGGUCCAGAUAAAAGACACAACUGGCUCUCAGAUCACGGAAUCCAGACCAGAAUACAAAUUAAACACCACCUCAGAGAAAACAAGGCUUCUGCUUCCUGGGAACAGGUCGAUGUGAAUACCAAAGGGCUGGUUAAAGUGGUGACCCACGAAGAGAAAGGUCAGGGUACCUUCCUGCUUCCUGUUCUGCUCUCUCUGUGCUGUGCAAGGGCUUCAUCCACAUGGAGCAUCAGUAUAACGGUACCAUCUGAUAAAGAAGAGGACUUAAGGCCUCCCACAGAUCACCGUUAACGAGAACACUCUUUCCCGCAUGUCCCUGCUUAGCUGCCCUUUGACUCUCAGGACAAAGGAAGCCAUGGAAUAGUGUCCCUACCGUGGGCGACAAGACACACAAACUACCUACAAUUUCAAGAAAUUGUGAGAACCCUAAAGCUGUGGCUGUCACCCUUCCCAAUCCUGCAACUCUUUAACACAGUUCCCCAUGUGGUGGUGACCCCAACCAUAAAAUUGUUUCAUUGCUAAUUCAUAGCUGUGAUUUUUGCUACUAUUAUGAAUCAUAAUGUAAAUAUUUGAUAUGCAGGAUAUCUGGUGUGUAACCCCUGAGGGGGUCGCAACCCACAGGUUCAGACCCACUGCCGUAAAGUCUUUCUGUAGGACACCCCUAAGAUCUCCUAAGAGGCUAGCAGCUAGACACCACAUCAACACCGUGAUCCAUGGAGAGCUUAGGCUCCAACAGGCGACAGCAUGCAGAUAGCCAUUGAUUUCAUUCAGAGAAGCUGGCUGAGGAUUAUCAUGACAUGUAUGAAAGCAAAAAACUAGCCCACGGCUGUGAAAGAAGGUACAGGGGGUGGGAAGUAUAGGGACAUAAAGUUGGUUGGAAGGGUGGGGCCUACUCCAGGAGGGAAAAAAAAUGAGAGAGGAAACAGACAUUUAUUCCACACCUAGAGGGAGACCAGGGCUUGGCUUCAUUGCAGGUGGAUUGCAGUCACAGUAAAGCCACCUCUGUGUUUGGGUUCGGUCCUCUCGAUGCAAACAAAGCUUCCAGGCAGGGGAUGUGUAACCAGAACCCAGAGACAGAAAUGGCUGCUCUUCACAUGCGUGCCUGGGGACUGCUCCCUUCCCUUUGGAGAGAGAUUUGUCAUUUAUCGAAGAGGAUUCCUCAGAGGCACAAAUCAGGGGCACAACUGACCAUUUCAAAUGUGGCUGGGUCUACCGUGCAAAAUACUCUUGGCUCUUCAGUUCUCUUUGAGUAACUUUUCCUUCAGGGAAGGUCUAGGGACUUUUGGUAUUGCUUGGGGGAUGUAAGCAUAAGAGAGAAUGAUUUAGAAGAUUAAAAAGAUUAGAGUUCUUACUGUAACAAUGGAGAGAUGGCUACCGGGGAGUGAGUGUGACUCUUAAGAGAGAGAAGGUUUUCUUGAAGAGACAAAUGAAAAGUCAGGGAAUGUCCUAACAAUGACAUAAGGUCCCCGAGAUGGCUCCUAAGCUGAAGGUGCUUGCUGCCAAGCCUGAAGAUCUUAGGAGAGGACCAGCUCCCACAAGUUUUCCUUGGACCUCAAGAUGCACACACGUGUGCACACACACACAUAUACCCCUCAGGAAAUAAAUAAAUAGGUAGAUAAAUAGAUAAAUGUGGUAAAAGAAAAUUUACGACAUAUGUAUCAUCAUAAUUCCAUCCCAGAACUAGAUUUUAUACCUUUCAAAAACGCAAUAGAAAAUUAAGAAUGAUCCUUAGCAAGUGAUAUAUAGAAAUUACUGUUGUCUGUAUUUAAAUAUAUUUAUUAAUAAAAUAAUAAAUAUUUGUAUAAAAAUUCUCUACC
Long non-coding RNA from Meriones unguiculatus (Mongolian gerbil), 3615 nucleotides. RefSeq lists it as uncharacterized. The record is from RefSeq and is a predicted model, not a curated record. The transcript has 2 exons. NCBI's taxonomy places the organism in Eukaryota, Metazoa, Chordata, Mammalia, Rodentia, Muridae.